GAGACUAUGGUGUAGUGGUAGCACGAGAGGUUGUGGCCCUCUCGGCAGGGGUUCAAUUCCCCUUAGUCUCCCA
This 73-nucleotide transfer RNA is filed under the name Candidatus Portnoyibacteriota bacterium. RNAcentral's name for it is "tRNA-His". It matches the Rfam family "tRNA". Rfam says of the family: Transfer RNA (tRNA) molecules are approximately 80 nucleotides in length. The record is from RNAcentral. Lineage: Bacteria; Candidatus Portnoyibacteriota.